UGUUCUGUGGCUUAGUCGGUUGAAGCGCUGGACUAGCGAAACAGAGUCGUGGGUUCGAAUCCCACCAAAACGA
Non-coding RNA from Aedes albopictus (Asian tiger mosquito), 73 nucleotides. NCBI's taxonomy places the organism in Eukaryota, Metazoa, Arthropoda, Insecta, Diptera, Culicidae. The record is from Rfam.